CAGCCGCCGCGGGAAUACGUAGGUGGCAAGCGUUGUCCGGAAUUAUUGGGCGUAAAGGGCUCGCAGGCGGUUUCUUAAGUCUGAUGUGAAAGCCCCCGGCUCAACCGGGGAGGGUCAUUGGAAACUGGGAAACUUGAGUGCAGAAGAGGAGAGUGGAAUUCCACGUGUAGCGGUGAAAUGCGUAGAGAUGUGGAGGAACACCAGUGGCGAAGGCGACUCUCUGGUUUGUAACUGACGCUGAGGAGCGAAAGCGUGGGGAGCGAACAGGAUUAGAUACCCCAGUAGUCCCUGUCUCUUAUAC
This 301-nucleotide ribosomal RNA is filed under the name uncultured bacterium. Its description in RNAcentral is "partial 16S ribosomal RNA". It matches the Rfam family "Bacterial small subunit ribosomal RNA", at positions 509 to 807 of the family's 1533-position model. The record is from RNAcentral.